UGCAGGAAGCAGGCGGUUCUCUGCUCUCCAGGGCUCCUGACAGCCUCUCCCCUCUCCGUCUCCCUCCCUCUGUCUCUCACAAUCUCUCUCCCUCUCUUGCUCACUCUCUCACUCACACACACACACACACACACACACACACACACAAAGUGCAAAAUCAUUUCUAUCCUACUGGUACUUAAUUUGUACCUCUCUAAAAACAUAAGGAUUUAAAGAUACAGGCUGACGAAUUUCUGGCUGUUUCCUGAGACAAUCAAACAAAAAAACCCAACAAAACAACCCAGUCUGUCUUCAAAGAUUUCCAUACCUAAUUUUGGAUUCGGAGAGCUCCGGAAUUGUCUGAGCACGCUCACCAAACCCGAGGUCCACGCCUCCCGCCCCCACAGAUGGCCUGCACGCCCCGCUGAUGAUGCGAUUGCCCUUAACUAGAUGGAAGACAUGCCGGGGAGAACCGCUCAUAAACCCUCCUCCUCCCUGGAGAUGGCGUCUGAUUGCACCGCCUCUCAAAGAAGCGUGACUUCAGCUUGUCCUCAGAAUCUCUCCUGUGAGAAGUACCCAUCGGGAGCCCUGACAGUCUUGGUAUCUUGGAGCCCUGCCCCGCUCCCAGUCUGCGGCCUACUGGGAUCCCUGCCUGGAUCCCUACGGGUAUAGAUGAGAUAGUAAAAUAUCUUUGAAUCAUAGUCUGUCACAUUCCUCAGUGUGGAACAGAUGAAACUGUGCUAGUGCUGGUGUUUCUGUACUAGAACUCCACUUUAGUGUCUAGAUUCUUUGAUGUAGUGCCUUCCA
Suricata suricatta (meerkat) is the source of this 786-nucleotide long non-coding RNA. RefSeq lists it as uncharacterized. NCBI's taxonomy places the organism in Eukaryota, Metazoa, Chordata, Mammalia, Carnivora, Herpestidae. The record is from RefSeq and is a predicted model, not a curated record. The transcript has 3 exons.